RNAcentral lists this ribosomal RNA (240 nucleotides) under uncultured bacterium. RNAcentral describes it as "partial 16S ribosomal RNA". It matches the Rfam family "Bacterial small subunit ribosomal RNA", at positions 95 to 334 of the family's 1533-position model. The record is from RNAcentral.
UUGGCGAACGGGUGAGUAACGCGUGAGUAACCUGCCCUGGAUGGGGGACAACAGUUGGAAACGACUGCUAAUACCGCAUAAGCCCACGGCCCGGCAUCGGGCUGCGGGAAAAGGAUUUAUUCGCUUCAGGAUGGACUCGCGUCCAAUUAGCUAGUUGGUGAGGUAACGGCCCACCAAGGCGACGAUUGGUAGCCGGACUGAGAGGUUGAACGGCCACAUUGGGACUGAGACACGGCCCAG